UUACCUAACAAAGAAAGAGUAGCAUUUUUGGUAGAGAGUAAAAAGGUGAAAAGUAAAAAGCAAAAGAAAGAAAAAGAAAAAGAAAAAGAAGUUUUAAAAUUCUGCAUCAUUCUCAUUGAAAGAAAUGACAGAAAAGGGAGAAGAAAAGGUAACCUUUUAGAACUGGAGUUUCUAAUGAACUCCAUCUCAUAUUUAUUGUCAAUUUAUAUACUAGAAAAGGCGAUUACACAAAGAAAGUACAUCACAUGAAGAAAAUCAGUGAGAAAAACCAGAUCGAUCCGCCGGUAAUAGAUGGAGUUCAUACAGACAAAGGCUUAGUAACGUUGAAUUCGAGUCCCCAGAGCUCGAAAGUUCCGUUAAUGAAGUCGUAGUGACCACCCUUGAGGCCAAGAGUUCCAUUCACCAAACCAUCCCUAACAAAUGGAUAGGUUAGCAGAUUCCCAAGUGAUACAGCAACUGCUUCCUGCAUUUUCCAAUAA
RNAcentral lists this long non-coding RNA (479 nucleotides) under Cucumis sativus (cucumber). Its description in RNAcentral is "long non-coding RNA (CSAT_LNC001288)". The record is from RNAcentral. Lineage: Eukaryota; Viridiplantae; Streptophyta; Magnoliopsida; Cucurbitales; Cucurbitaceae.